RNAcentral lists this ribosomal RNA (494 nucleotides) under uncultured bacterium. RNAcentral describes it as "partial 16S ribosomal RNA". It matches the Rfam family "Bacterial small subunit ribosomal RNA", at positions 28 to 507 of the family's 1533-position model. The record is from RNAcentral.
GUCGAACGCUGGCGGCGCGCUUAACACAUGCAAGUCGAACGGAAAGGCCUGCUUUCCCUUGUGGAUUGCGGGUACUCGAGUGGCGAACGGGUGAGUAACACGUGAGUGAUCUGCCCCCAACUUGGGUAUAAGCCUGGGAAACUGGGUCUAAUUCCCGAUAGGACUGCAGGGUGGUGCCUGUGGUGGAAAACGAUUUUCUAGUGGUUGGGGAUGAGCUCGCGGCCUAUCAGCUUGUUGGUGGGGUAAUGGCCUACCAAGGCGGCGACGGGUAGCCGGCCUGAGAGGGUGGACGGCCACAUUGGGACUGGGAUACGGCCCAGACUCCUACGGGAGGCAGCAGUGGGGAAUAUUACACAAUGGGCGGAAGCCUGAUGCAGCGACGCCGCGUGGGGGAUGACGGCCUUCGGGUUGUAAACUCCUUUCGACCGCGAGGAAGCCACCUGGUUGGAAGGGUGGUGACGGUAGUGGUAGAAGAAGCACCGGCUAACUACGUG